Molecule: long non-coding RNA, 2154 nt
Filed under: Capsicum annuum
Lineage: Eukaryota; Viridiplantae; Streptophyta; Magnoliopsida; Solanales; Solanaceae
Description: long non-coding RNA (CANN_LNC012033)
Source: RNAcentral
CUCAAGUCUCAAAUCUCAUUCUCUCUCAAAUCUCAUUUCUCAAUUCUCAAAUAUUCUAUAUAUUUAAUUUCUAAAGUGCUCACUUUAAUUUUUUUAAUUUUGCGAUUACUAAGUACGAGUGAAAGUUUCUAAAGUCGCAACCUUCGAAUACUUCUAAAAUUUGGUAUUGUCAUUCCAUCUCUUACUUUUAAUUUAUAAUUAGUGUAUUAAUUGUUGAAUAUUUAUUUUUAUUACUUUUUUUGUAUUUUGAAUAUUUUUUUAGUUUGAUUUAUACUAUGGAUAAAUUAAGAAACCUCGGUAAAAGUGUCAAAAAAUUGUCCCGGAAGUGGUAGUGGUAGCAAAAGCGAAUUAUUAGCGGUAGAGGUACUUCAAGUACUAGAUAUACCCGUGUGCCUUCGCCUCCGGUACCACUUAGUCAACCUUUUGAGGAAGAAAUAGGUGUAGAUGCUCACGAUAUGGAUUAUUUAGAAGUUCAGGGAAUUAUGGUAUAGAAGAAGAAAAUGAAGUAGAUGCAGUUGAUUUAGAUGAAGAUGAUGAAAAUAUUGGUGAGACACCCGAAGUAGGAAAUGCUAAUGUUAUAUCCGAAUCGGUUAAUCUCCCACUCCGUCCUCCCCGUGCCCCAAGAGCUUGUAACCAAACUAGUAUUGCAUGAAAAUUUUUUAAAUGUAUAUCAGAUACUGAGGUGCAAUGCAAUAUUUGUCAAAAAUUAUAUAAGCAUAAAAGAGAAGGCAAGCAAGGGGGUACAGGUACGUUAAUGAGACAUUUAGCUGAAGACGACGAAAGAGAGUUAAAAAUUAUACAAGGUGGUGAGGCUUUUGGUAGGCCCACACAAACUAGAAUGGACCCAACAACCGGUCACGUAAUGAAGAAGUAUAAUAAAUUGAGGGACCGGGAAGAAAUAGCAAAAAUGGUAGCUGUAGGUUGUUUGCCUUUUAUUUUUUCUUCUUCUGAUGCUUUUAUUCAUUAUAUUCAAGCAAUUUAUUAUCCUAUGUUUAAUGGUAUUCCUAGGAGUACUUGUCGGUCUGAUAUUUUUAGACUUCAUUCACAAUAUUAUUUUUAUUUAUCUAUAUUGUUAAAAAAUAUUCAAUGUAGAAUAUCCCUAACUUCUGAUCUUGGUCGUGCUGUAAAUAAAAUUGCAGCAUUUUAUGGUAUCGAAAAUAAAAUCUUAUGUAUCGCUUUUGAUAACGCUUCUAACAACAAGACUGCUAUAACAAAGUUGAAAUCUAAGCUAUCACCGCCGUUACCUGAAAUUUUUCAUAUUAAGUGUGCAUGUCAUAUAUAUAAUUUAAUUGUAAAAGAUGGCCUUGAGUUUUUUGAUAUUUAUAUUGAAAAAAUCCAUCUUGCUGUUGGUUUUAUACAAGGAAAUAAUCGUAGAUCGAGAAUUAAAGAAUUUAAAGUUAAAUGUCAAGAAAAUGGACUUGCACCUAUAUUGAUGCCUGAGGAAAUUGAUAUUAGAUGGAAUUCUAUGUAUGAUUUUUUAAAAACUUGUUAUAAAUAUAGAGUUCCUAUUACAUUAGCUUUUAACCAAUAUUGUGGUUCAUUUGCUGAUUCUGCCGAUUGUAUGCUACUUGAUUCUGAUUGGGUUGUAAUUAAUGAUAUUGUUAAGUUUUUGGAAAAGUUUUAUGUAGUUACGGUUGAAUUUUCUGGUGCUUAUUAUCCUACUGUUUGUAAUAUUUUGGGAUAUAUAACCGAUAUUCUAGUUUGCUCAAAGAAUAUAAAAAUAAAGAAAGUUAUGAAAAUGCUAUUGGUGUCAUGUUUACUAAAUUUAAAAAAUAUUUUUUCUCAAUUUUACCUAUUUUCUUGGUUGGUGCUAUGCUAAAUUCGUGCAUUAAAUACCAUAAUAUGUGCCACUUUAGUACUCUUAUUUAUCAUAAUUUAGAAAUAAAUACUAACAAUGGUUCUAAACAAGUACAACUUGAUUUGUGGACGGCUAUGUCUGAUGCGACUGCUUACAUAGAUAAAUUAUAUAACCACUAUGCUGAUUUAGUUGAUUUAGUUGCACCGAUACAUAUCAGUCCAACUGUCGCUCCUCAUCCUCCUAAGGUGCCAUCAUUUUCUAAAAGGCCGGCACAUUAUAGUUUUUUUGAUUCCUUUUAUGAUUUACCCUGUUGGAAUAGUGUUGACGAGGGAGCUUACACAUCAACUUAUCGGGAA